This 111-nucleotide small nucleolar RNA is filed under the name Suricata suricatta (meerkat). RNAcentral's name for it is "Small nucleolar RNA SNORA51 (ENSSSUG00005009444.1)". It matches the Rfam family "Small nucleolar RNA SNORA51". Rfam says of the family: ACA51 is a member of the H/ACA class of snoRNA that guide the sites of modification of uridines to pseudouridines. The record is from Rfam by way of RNAcentral. Lineage: Eukaryota; Metazoa; Chordata; Mammalia; Carnivora; Herpestidae.
GGUGCUUACCACAGGCUGUGUUCUUACACUGACUGUACAGAGUAACCCUACCCAUAUACACCCCAGCCCAGGCCCUUUGCCUGGUCUGUGUUGUGUUGGAGGGGGAGGGGG